GACGAACGCUGGCGGCGUGCCUAAUACAUGCAAGUAGAACGCUGAAGAGAGGAGCUUGCUCUUCUUGGAUGAGUUGCGAACGGGUGAGUAACGCGUAGGUAACCUGCCUUGUAGCGGGGGAUAACUAUUGGAAACGAUAGCUAAUACCGCAUAACAAUGGAUGACACAUGUCAUUUAUUUGAAAGGGGCAAUUGCUCCACUACAAGAUGGACCUGCGUUGUAUUAGCUAGUAGGUGAGGUAAUGGCUCACCUAGGCGACGAUACAUAGCCGACCUGAGAGGGUGGUCGGCCACACUGGGACUGAGACACGGCCCAGACUCCUACGGGAGGCAGCAGUAGGGAAUCUUCGGCAAUGGGGGCAACCCUGACCGAGAAACGCCGCGUGAGUGAAGAAGGGUUUCGGAUCGGAAAGCUCGGUUGUAAGUCAAGAACGGGUGUGAGAGUGGAAAGUUCACACUGUGACGGUAGCUGACCAGAAAGGGACGGCUAACUACGUG
RNAcentral lists this ribosomal RNA (497 nucleotides) under uncultured bacterium. RNAcentral describes it as "partial 16S ribosomal RNA". It matches the Rfam family "Bacterial small subunit ribosomal RNA", at positions 28 to 507 of the family's 1533-position model. The record is from RNAcentral.